GCUCAGCCUCUGGGUAUUAAUCUGCUGAGCUGGUGGCCACCUAAAUACAAUCGUCCUGUUCCCCUCAUUGGUCUCUCCGGUCUCCUGAUUCCAGCCACAUUUUGGUGAGCCAGCCAGGAGUGAAGACGACAGGUUUGCUGUCUCCUUUGCCUGUGGGUCUGGGGCCCCAGCCUGGGGGAGACCCGUGACUCCAGGCAUGCUAUCAGGACAACUUCAACCCGAGGGGAGAUCAGCUCUCCCGCAACCUGGUGCCGCUCUCUGACAGCACAACAGAACCUAAGGGGCUACAGGAUGAUUCAAGGAACAGUGUGCUACAGGACCUCGGUAUUCCUGCUGAGAGUCAUUUCCUGUGCUGGAUUUACCAUCACAGGGACCAGAUUUAUAGAAAAAUGAACAUGUAUUGUUGCUAAAUGGAGUUGGUCAUGGAGUGGAAACUAACAAUAUGUUCACCUCAAGAAGACCCUCACCAGAUGCAGCCCCUCUAUGUUGGACUUCCCAGCCUCCGGAAGUUAGAAAUGUGCUACAACCACUCAAGGUCUGCAAACAGAUUCCUAUUUAGAUGUUGUUGAGAGAUGGGGUCUCGCUCUGUCCUGGAGUGCAAUGGCACGAUCUUGGCUCACUGCAACCUCCGCCUCCCAGGUUCAAGCAAUUCUCCUGCCUCAGCCUCCCGAGUAGCUGGGACUACAGGCACACGCCAACACGCCAGGCUAAUUUUUUGUAUUUUUAAUAGAGAUGGAGUUUCACCAUGUUCCCCAGGCUGGUCUUGAACUCCUGAGCUCAGGCAAUCCACCUUCCUCUGCCUCCCAAAGUGCUAGGAUUACAGGCGUGAGCCACCGCGCCCGGUCUAUUUAUUUUCUUAACAGGGUAUUUUGCUAAGAAGUUUUACAUUUUGGUGAAGUCUAGUUUUUCCAUUUUUUUAUUAUGCUUAUUAUUUCUUAUGACUUCAGAUUUCCUUCCCUUCACUUAAUUAAUGGAGGUAUUGUAGUAUGAUUUCUUUUACCUUGUAUUUUGAAAUUUUACCUUUUACUCUGUGGUCCAUCUUGAAUUAUCUUUUAUGUAUGAUGUGAGGAUGUGAGAUUACUUUUCUUCAUAUGAAAAUGCAAUUUUUCCACCUUCCAUUCUUGAAGAAAUUAACUUUCCCCAUUUGACUGUUUUGGUGUAUUGGACAGUAAGUUUAAAAAUAUGUUUUAAAAAGUAUUUGCCAUGUUUAAAAAAUGUUUAGAAAGAAAGGCCACAUUCUUGUCUUUUUCCUUAUCUUAGAGGAAAAGGCUUCAACUUUUCACAUUGAGUAUGAUGUUAGCUGUUGGAUUGUCAUACAUGGAUUUUCUUGUUGGUGAACUUUUCUUCUAUACCUAAUUUGUAAUUGAUAAUAAUAAUAUAUUGUUUAUAUCAAAACAGCUAAAAAAGGGAUUUUAAAUGCUCUCACCACAAAGAAAUGAUAGUAUUUGGGUGGGAUAAAUAUGUUAAUUGACCAUAUUUGAUUAUUCCACAAUGUACAUGUAACAAAACACCACAUUGUACCCCAUAAAUAUAUAAAAUUAUUAUUUGCAAUUAGAAAUAAAAUAUAACUUAAAAAAGAAAA
Molecule: long non-coding RNA, 1582 nt
Organism: Homo sapiens (human)
Lineage: Eukaryota; Metazoa; Chordata; Mammalia; Primates; Hominidae
Product: long intergenic non-protein coding RNA 278
Source: Ensembl